This 71-nucleotide transfer RNA is filed under the name Micromonospora tulbaghiae. Its description in RNAcentral is "tRNA-Asn". It matches the Rfam family "tRNA". From Rfam's summary of the family: Transfer RNA (tRNA) molecules are approximately 80 nucleotides in length. Their secondary structure includes four short double-helical elements and three loops (D, anti-codon, and T loops). Further hydrogen bonds mediate the characteristic L-shaped molecular structure. tRNAs have two regions of fundamental functional importance: the anti-codon, which is responsible for specific mRNA codon recognition, and the 3' end, to which the tRNAs corresponding amino acid is attached (by aminoacyl-tRNA synthetases). tRNAs cope with the degeneracy of the genetic code in two manners: having more than one tRNA (with a specific anti-codon) for a particular amino acid; and 'wobble' base-pairing, i.e. permitting non-standard base-pairing at the 3rd anti-codon position. RNAcentral also lists the same sequence under 1 other name. Lineage: Bacteria; Bacillati; Actinomycetota; Actinomycetes; Micromonosporales; Micromonosporaceae. The record is from RNAcentral.
UCCCUCGUAGCUCAAGGGCAGAGCGGCCGACUGUUAAUCGGCUGAUCUUGGUUCGAGUCCAGGCGGGGGAG